UGCUUAGGUUGAUGACGUGUCUUUGC
RNAcentral lists this non-coding RNA (26 nucleotides) under Homo sapiens (human). Lineage: Eukaryota; Metazoa; Chordata; Mammalia; Primates; Hominidae. The record is from RNAcentral.